AGUGAACGCUGGCGGUAGGCCUAACACAUGCAAGUCGAACGGCAGCACAGUAAGAGCUUGCUCUUACGGGUGGCGAGUGGCGGACGGGUGAGGAAUACAUCGGAAUCUACUUUUUCGUGGGGGAUAACGUAGGGAAACUUACGCUAAUACCGCAUACGACCUACGGGUGAAAGCAGGGGAUCUUCGGACCUUGCGCGAUUGAAUGAGCCGAUGUCGGAUUAGCUAGUUGGCGGGGUAAAGGCCCACCAAGGCGACGAUCCGUAGCUGGUCUGAGAGGAUGAUCAGCCACACUGGAACUGAGACACGGUCCAGACUCCUACGGGAGGCAGCAGUGGGGAAUAUUGGACAAUGGGCGGAAGCCUGAUCCAGCCAGACCGCGUGGGUGAAGAAGGCCUUCGGUUUGUAAAGCCCUUUUUUUGGGAAAGAAAAGCAGCAGGUUAAUACCCCGCUGUUCUGACGGUACCCAAAGAAUAAGCACCGGCUAACUUCGUG
This 492-nucleotide ribosomal RNA is filed under the name uncultured bacterium. RNAcentral's name for it is "partial 16S ribosomal RNA". It matches the Rfam family "Bacterial small subunit ribosomal RNA", at positions 29 to 507 of the family's 1533-position model. The record is from RNAcentral.